This 442-nucleotide ribosomal RNA is filed under the name uncultured bacterium. Its description in RNAcentral is "partial 16S ribosomal RNA". It matches the Rfam family "Bacterial small subunit ribosomal RNA", at positions 339 to 795 of the family's 1533-position model. The record is from RNAcentral.
CUACGGGCCGCUGCAGUGGGGAAUAUUGGACAAUGGACCAAAAGUCUGAUCCAGCAAUUCUGUGUGCACGAUGACGGUCUUCGGAUUGUAAAGUGCUUUCAGUUGGGAAGAAAAAAAUGACGGUACCAACAGAAGAAGCGACGGCUAAAUACGUGCCAGCAGCCGCGGUAAUACGUAUGUCGCAAGCGUUAUCCGGAUUUAUUGGGCGUAAAGCGCGUCUAGGUGGUUUGAUAAGUCUGAUGUGAAAAUGCGGGGCUCAACUCCGUAUUGCGUUGGAAACUGUCAAACUAGAGUAUCGGAGAGGUGGGCGGAACUACAAGUGUAGAGGUGAAAUUCGUAGAUAUUUGUAGGAAUGCCGAUAGAGAAGUCAGCUCACUGGACGAAUACUGACACUGAAGCGCGAAAGCAUGGGGAGCAAACAGGAUUAGAUACCCUGGUAGUC